RNAcentral lists this long non-coding RNA (1337 nucleotides) under Numida meleagris (helmeted guineafowl). RNAcentral describes it as "lncRNA (ENSNMEG00000016785.1)". The record is from RNAcentral. Lineage: Eukaryota; Metazoa; Chordata; Aves; Galliformes; Numididae.
AAUUGCUUUAGCAAACUUCUCCUGAUUUUAACAUUCCUCUAGAUAUUAAGGUUGCAUUUCAUGAUUUAUUCCUGCUUCCUGGUAAUGCGGUGUCUUGUUUCAUAGUGGGUACUUGAAUAUUUGUUAGUAAGAGGACAUGUGAGAGUAAGAGGCACUUCUUCCAGCAGAAACACCUGCACUUUCCAACUUGCCCCUGGUCAGGAGAGUUCAACAACCAAAGUUAUAACAUUCUGUGUGCAAGGAUGAACAUCUUUUCAGUAUAAGUACAAAGAAAAGCCUUAAUAAAAUAUAAUAUGUGAAUAGGAGUAUCUAUCUUGCCUAAUGUUGUAUACCUAAAAGGCUGAGCACCUAAGCAAUGAUAAAAAGACUUCCUCUGCCGAGCAGCAGGAAGACAUGAGUCCCUGGGGCAAAAUAGCCCAUUUCCACUGUGAGGCAGGGCAUGGAUCAAUGUUGCAGGUGUUUGUCUUUAGUGACUAAGCUGUCCAGUGGACCAGUGAAGCUAGAUCCUUGACUUUUAGGUGAUUAAUGUACAUGAGAUUAAUCCUAUUCAUAAUUCAUGAUGUAAUAAUAACAUAAUUAGAUGAAUUCAUUGCUAUAUGUUUGUUGCCAUGCUCUGUGGAAAGCAGAAGUAAAAUGAAGGGAGACAAUACUGUAAAAAAGACAGAUGCUUAAAAUGGCAGAAAUUGAAGCACAGAUAUUCAAACUUAGUAAUGACAUACAUUAAAAUAGUUUUUGAACGGAAAUAAAAGAAAGCGAACCGAGAGAUAAGCUGUUGUGUGCUCGGAUUGGUGUCCAACUUUGAAUUUGCUGAAUUUGCCUUGAGAAAGAUUCGUGAUUUUGAAAUGUGUGGAAAAUUGCUGUAGGACCUCCUUUUUGUAUCAUCCACAGGCAUCCUGUGCUAAUGUAUGAUGUCAGUGUUCCCUGCACUGCCCAUUUUACCAGCAGAACAUCGGCGGAUGUGUGCUGGAAGCUGGCUGCUCUGCUCCAGGACGGCUGCACAAGGCAUGGAGGGAUGGGGAGCCCUUGCUGCUGAGUUCCAAGCUCUCUGCAAGAUUAUUUGCAGCCUUUGUUGCAACACAUCAAAAUGUGUUUCUGGAUGCCCCCUCUCUCCUUAAGCAAAAUCUUGGAAGCGACGUGAACUUCCCAGAGGAGCUGCUCCCAGUCCCUGUGAGGCCUCCAACUGACCGGAAGGAAGAAUUGUUGUGGCUGUUAGGAUAGUGUGGGAAAUGCAGUUGUUAGCAUUCUUUUUUUGAGGGUGGGGAUUGGAAAAUGUAGAAAUACUCUGUGGUAUUUCAUCAAUGUUUUAUAUAGUAACACAUUUCACAAGAAAGUUUUAU